RNAcentral lists this long non-coding RNA (318 nucleotides) under Olea europaea (common olive). RNAcentral's name for it is "long non-coding RNA (OEUR_LNC012923)". Lineage: Eukaryota; Viridiplantae; Streptophyta; Magnoliopsida; Lamiales; Oleaceae. The record is from RNAcentral.
GGACAAUAAGUUGCUUAUUCUUAGUGUUGAAAAACUCAUGAUAUGUAGAACACUAUUAUUUGGAUACACGAGCAAUAAAUGUUAGGAAUAAUAUUUGUGGCGUGUGCGAUAAUUUGUGAUAAUCCUAAAUCGAAAUGCAUGUUUGCCAUAUGAAUUCGGACUAUGAAUAGGAUCCUCUCGUGGUAAACAUAGGUUUAUUAUAUCUUGGGAAAGAAUAAUAAAUAAAAGUGGAAUUAUCAAUCGUCGCAAUUGCAUGAAUUGAGAUAAUUAUUAUUGGUUGAGAAUUAGAACUAAGAAUUGAUCAGUAGAGUCGAAAAU